AUUUAUCGGAACUUUCCAUGCUGUUUUUUUUGCAAACAAUUUUUCCAGUAUUUCUUUGUGUGUCAUCUUCCUGUUACCUCCCAAACAACUUUAAUGCUCUCUAUUCAGUUCAUGAAUCUAAAACAAAGAUAACAUUGAGGAAGCCUCGAGGUGGACGUCACUGACAUGGGAGCUAGUAUGCCACAUUGACAGCUGUUGCACUCAGCCUAUCACUGGUGAGAUUAGUAAAUGAGGAGUUAGUGAUAGGCUGAGUGCAUCAGCUGAUUACAUCAUCAGAAACCAUAAGGCAGAGUGGACGGGUGUAAUCUUCAAAACCUGGGGUUAAACAGUUUGUAACACUCUAACCCCUUUUGGUAAGAGAUUAAGUUACUAUGGUACCUGGAGUGUUCCUUUUAAGGAGAAUUUAACACCUAAAAUGACUUGAAAAGUCACCGAGAACACUUUGCUAACAAUCAAUUAACCAAUAUUCCAAAAUAUUUCUAUGUAUGUGUGGGAACAGAGUGAACACAACAAAUACUUCCACUGACUUAUCAAGUAAUGAAUUGAUGUUGAAUUUGCAUUUCUCGUAUUUGGAAAUGUUUGCCCACUUGCUUUUUCCUGGCACGAUGGCAGAAAUAUGCUAUGCUGAC
Molecule: non-coding RNA, 629 nt
Organism: Pelobates cultripes (western spadefoot toad)
Lineage: Eukaryota; Metazoa; Chordata; Amphibia; Anura; Pelobatidae
Source: the annotation of a GenBank genome assembly